Molecule: ribosomal RNA, 400 nt
Filed under: uncultured bacterium
Lineage: Bacteria
Description: bacterial SSU rRNA
Rfam family: Bacterial small subunit ribosomal RNA
Source: RNAcentral
GGAAUAUUGGUAAUCUGCGAAAGCGGGAACCAGCGACGCCGCGUGUGCGAUGAAGGUCUUCGGAUCGUAAAGCACUUUUCGAGGAGAUGAGGAAGGACAGUAUCCUCGGAAUAAGUCUCGGCUAACUACGUGCCAGCAGCCGCGGUAAAACGUAGGAGGCAAGCGUUAUCCGGAUUUACUGGGCGUAAAGCGCGUGCAGGCGGUUCGGUAAGUUGGAUGUGAAAGCUCCUGGCUCAACUGGGAGAGGUCGUUCAAUACUACUGGACUUGAGGAUGGUAGAGGGAGGUGGAAUUCCGGGUGUAGUGGUGAAAUGCGUAGAUAUCCGGAGGAACACCAGUGGCGAAAGCGGCCUCCUGGACCAUUUCUGACGCUCAGACGCGAAAGCUAGGGUAGCAAACGG